Lacerta agilis (Sand lizard) is the source of this 1432-nucleotide long non-coding RNA. RefSeq lists it as uncharacterized. NCBI's taxonomy places the organism in Eukaryota, Metazoa, Chordata, Lepidosauria, Squamata, Lacertidae. The record is from RefSeq and is a predicted model, not a curated record. The transcript has 3 exons.
CCAUUGACCUACAAGCCUUCCUUGAUUUGCAAGACUCCCAUCAGUGUCGUAUGAGUAAUAUGGUUUGUAAUAUGUGAUGGGCACUUGAGUUCAAGAGUGCUCUCUAAAAGUGCAGAGUUGUGAAUUCAUUUGAAUAUGUGUUGAUAAAUAUAAUGCACUUUUUGUAAAAUAUAAAGCUUUAGGGUAAUGUGUACUUCUUACACAGUCCUUGGUUUCUGGUAUGCUUAUGGGUGUCCCUUGCAACACACAUUUUUUGUGUGCAACCCUUAGUUUACCUCUUUGCCCUUCACUCUUCAAUGGUUGUAGAGGGUGCCAGUCACUUAACUAGCCACUAGGUGGCGGUGAUGAUCCAUCACUAAUGUUUUAGUCUUUCACUAGCUUGAUUUCCCAGUUGGGCUGUUUUCACAGGCUGCACUUAAUUCCAGGAAGCAUUCAGGGCACUGAAUUUUAAAGAGGUCAAGUGGGUGGGUGUGUUUGUGCAACAAUUAAAUGGCAGAGUUAAAUCUACCCUGAUCCUUAAAAGUGUCCCAAGGAGAGCAGUCAGUCCUGGUGAUUUCAGCAUGUAGGCUAAGAGCAGUAAAUUUUCUAGAUCAAGAGAAACUCUGAGGUAGAUGUGGUCAGAAGGCACAUAAUGCAGCAAAACUCUUGAAACUAUGCAGGUCUGUAACUGGUCAGUGCCUGGAUGGAAGACCACCUGGGAACUCCAUGCGCUGCAGUGAGCUUCUUGAGAGAAAGGAAUGACUCGGUAAGGAAUACAGCAUUUCAGACAAGAGCCCAUUCCAGCAGAAGCACAAAAGGAGACACUGUGGAGGAGACUGGAUUUGAUAGGAACCUUGCAGAAUGAACGCAGCCUGUUUCUAGCCAUGAUUGCACAAAAAGACUAACUCCAAAGUAAGUGGGCAUAUGACUACAGCCUUAGUUUGUAAUUUUCUUUUCUACUUAUUAUGGCCAUUGGGCAGAUGUGGGGAACCUCCAAAUGUUGCUGAGCUGUCAUUCUGAUCUUCCCUGACCCAGACCGGUCAUGGUGGCUGUGGCUGAUGGAAAUUAAGCAACUUCUAAAGGACCAAAGGUUCCCAUCUCUGCUAUAGGACAUGAAAGGUAGUACCAGAUGUUCUCUUCACACAACUUAUACUGGAAUAGAUGCAAUGAACUCAACGGGAGACAACACAAACACACACACAGAGAGAGAAUGGUCUUGUCAGAUCCUGGUUCAAAUGAUGUUAUGGUACCACAGUAGGGAAGGGCUCCUGCCUUGAGGGGCAUAAAUUAACUUUUCAUGUCCUACUUGCCAAAGGCAGAGAUAAAUUAUAUGGUUGUCCUGUCUACAUCUGGUUCUCUUAUGUCAUGGCUAAGGAGUUUGAGGCUUUGUGCUCAUUUUUUAAAAAAUGCUUUGCAAGUGGUUGACGCUGCAGAGGGCCAAAUGCAAGUUACU